RNAcentral lists this ribosomal RNA (468 nucleotides) under uncultured bacterium. RNAcentral describes it as "partial 16S ribosomal RNA". It matches the Rfam family "Bacterial small subunit ribosomal RNA", at positions 28 to 507 of the family's 1533-position model. The record is from RNAcentral.
GACGAACGCUGGCGGCGUGCUUAACACAUGCAAGUCGAACGGAAAGGCCCUGCUUUUGUGGGGUGCUCGAGUGGCGAACGGGUGAUUAACACGUGAGUAACCUGCCCUUGACUUUGGGAUAACUUCAGGAAACUGGGGCUAAUACCGGAUAGGAGCUCCUGCUGCAUGUUGGGGGUUGGAAAGUUUCGGCGGUUGGGGAUGGACUCGCGGCUUAUCAGCUUGUUGGUGGGGUAGUGGCUUACCAAGGCUUUGACGGGUAGCCGGCCUGAGAGGGUGACCGGCCACAUUGGGACUGAGAUACGGCCCAGACUCCUACGGGAGGCAGCAGUGGGGAAUAUUGCACAAUGGGCGGAAGCCUGAUGCAGCAACGCCGCGUGCGGGAUGACGGCCUUCGGGUUGUAAACCGCUUUCGCCUGUGACGAAGCGUGAGUGACGGUAAUGGGUAAAGAAGCACCGGCUAACUACGUG